GUCUACAGCCACAUCACCCUGAAUGUGCCUGAUCUCAUCUGAUCUUGGAAGCUAAGCAGAGUCGGGCCUGGUCAGCAUUGGGAUGGGAGAAAUACAAGGCAAACCACAAAUGAAAGCUCCAUGGGAUACUAAAUU
Fukomys damarensis (Damara mole-rat) is the source of this 135-nucleotide ribosomal RNA. The record is from Ensembl. Lineage: Eukaryota; Metazoa; Chordata; Mammalia; Rodentia; Bathyergidae.